UGGACUACCAUCCUUUAUUUUGGUGGUGUAAAAGUAUUUGUGAUGCAUACAGUGCUCCCUCUCAACCAUAGGGACAGCAAUCACGCCAGGGGUAACUGUGCCUACAUCUGUCGGUUAAAGCAAACCCUUGCAGGGUUGCCGACUCAAGACCUGACUCAUUUGCAGCUGCUUGCUUCUGGCAGAGCUCCUCAGCUAUCAGUGCAAGCUGCAAGGAGGGAUGCUGCACAGGUCCAGCUGCAGGGGAUGGGCAGGAAGCUGGAAGGAGCCCACUGCGGAGCACCCUCCAUCUAAACAGUGGACAUGUCAGACAAGCAAGGAUCUGCAUCAGGAAUUCAGGUACCAGCCCGUGGAAGUUAACAGAAAUUUCUUUUAAUAGGCUCCAGGAAGCUCAGAUCCUCACGCUAGCACCGGGGUAAAGGCAAGGAGGAUGUAGGUUACAGGAACAGUGUGACAUGAUUAUUCACUGAAGUGCACUGGUCCCUUGAGGCUCAAAGUGUUUUGGGACGUUUGGUAUGAGCUGUCUGAGACACACAGGGCUUACAGGCCCAGCUCCCUCUUUAGACAACUGUUGCUGUGGUGUGGUUUGGUUGUUAGUGUUGUUUUGUUUUAAUAUUGCAUGUGCUUCAAUUUCUACAGCCGGUGUUGAUUGUGUAACUUCUUAAGAGAGAUUUCAAAUACUGCAAAGAAAUACUUCCCAGGAGCAGCUUUCAGAAAGCACUUUAAAAGUCUUUAUCUAUCUCCCUGGCCCUGGCAUCCUCCCAUCACGGAGCUUUCCAAACACAGAUCUAUGCGUUUUUAUGGUGCCUCAGAAGAGGCAUGUCAGCCUCAGGGGCGGGUUCCUCACGGUGCUGAGGAGGCUGUACAGCAGAUGCAGGGAACUAAAUCAAGCUGGUUGAUCCCUGUACAGUGUCAUAACUGUAAAAUCCUCCACGAGGAGCAGUGUGGAAAGUGGUUGUAUUUGUGCAUUCAUCAUGCAUGCUAUGACAAAUGACAGUUUUAUGGUUAAAUGCACUUGAAUGGAAGGUUAAGGUUCAUCUCCCUUCUCUGCCCUACACUUCAUAUAUCACCUCAGGUAAAACUGAGAGCCAGAUAAUACCUUAAACAACAGAUUUACUUUCCUUCACCUUGUAUUUCUAACUCAGGUGUUAACAGCACUUCUUCCCAACCCUACCUCUUUACUUUACACACGCGUGCCUGGAGGUUUGCUUGGGGCUUGGAGCAACGGGAAGCCUGCAGUCAGGCAGGGAGCCUGAAAACGAUAGCAAAAGCAAAACCAACAGCACUUAAGGCAGGUAAUAAAUGAGCCUGGUCCUGGCUUCA
Molecule: long non-coding RNA, 1320 nt
Filed under: Anser brachyrhynchus (Pink-footed goose)
Lineage: Eukaryota; Metazoa; Chordata; Aves; Anseriformes; Anatidae
Description: lncRNA (ENSABRG00000022239.1)
Source: RNAcentral